AUUGAACGCUGGCGGCAGGCUUAACACAUGCAAGUCGAGCGAGCGGCGGACGGGUGAGUAAUGUCUGGGAAACUGCCUGAUGGAGGGGGAUAACUACUGGAAACGGUAGCUAAUACCGCAUACCAUCAGAUGUGCCCAGAUGGGAUUAGCUAGUAGGUGGGGUAAUGGCUCACCUAGGCGACGAUCCCUAGCUGGUCUGAGAGGAUGACCGGGCACACGGGAACAGAGACACGGUCCCACGGCCUACGGGAGGCAGCGGUGGGGAAUAUUGCAAAAUGGGCGCAAGCCUGAUGCAGCCAUGCAGCGUGUGUGAGGAAGGCCUUCGGGUUGUAAAGCAGUUUCAGCGAGGAGGCGUUACUCGCAGAAGAAGCACCGGCUAACUCCGUGCCAGCAGCCGCGGUAAUAC
RNAcentral lists this ribosomal RNA (406 nucleotides) under uncultured bacterium. RNAcentral's name for it is "partial 16S ribosomal RNA". It matches the Rfam family "Bacterial small subunit ribosomal RNA", at positions 29 to 526 of the family's 1533-position model. The record is from RNAcentral.